Molecule: ribosomal RNA, 253 nt
Filed under: uncultured bacterium
Lineage: Bacteria
Description: partial 16S ribosomal RNA
Rfam family: Bacterial small subunit ribosomal RNA
Source: RNAcentral
UACGGAGGGGACUAGCGUUGUUCGGAAUUACUGGGCGUAAAGCGCACGUAGGCGGAUUUGUAAGUCAGGGGUGAAAUCCCGAGGCUCAACCUCGGAACUGCCUUUGAUACUGCAAAUCUCGAGUCCGGAAGAGGUGAGUGGAAUUCCUAGUGUAGAGGUGAAAUUCGUAGAUAUUAGGAAGAACACCAGUGGCGAAGGCGGCUCACUGGUCCGGUACUGACGCUGAGGUGCGAAAGCGUGGGGAGCGAACGGG